RNAcentral lists this long non-coding RNA (723 nucleotides) under Chloebia gouldiae (Gouldian finch). RNAcentral describes it as "Erythrura gouldiae (Gouldian finch) lncRNA (ENSEGOG00005019196.1)". Lineage: Eukaryota; Metazoa; Chordata; Aves; Passeriformes; Passeridae. The record is from RNAcentral.
GGAAUCUGCUGCUUCCAAAUCCAGAUUAUCGAGGAUUUUCUGCUGGUGGAGGAUGCGCUUCUUCUGGAAGAGAUGGCUGAGGAGGAUGAGGAGCUCGACCUGUACAACGAGAUGACUUUUGGGUUAGAGCCAGGACUCAGCAGUGCUGGACAGCGGGAUUGGGACUUGCUGGGAAGAGUUUGGCAAGGAGGACACGGUAAAAAUGUCCCCACCCAUCUGGUGAUGAGGCAGAGUGGCUCCUGUGGUGUCCCCUGCUCUCUCCUCCUGUUCACUUGCCUCAUGCCACCAUCUCUCUGUUUUCCAGCCGGCAAUGGAUCCCACGGCAUGGGGCUCCUGCCCUGGCAGUGUCCCACGCCACCUCAUGCUGGAGGAUAAAGCCAUUCUCCAGGUCCUGGAGAGACCUCCACCAUCUGCCAACAUGGCUCUCGACUUCCUUGGUUCUCCUGUGCAGAGGGGCUAUGGGGGUUCUUCCCGGCUCAAGUGCCCUGACUUAAGACUGAUGUCCCCCAAGCCUUUCUCCCAGUGCUUUCUCCAGCAGGUAACAGGUUUGCGGCUACUCUUGUAUCCCUUCUUUCUCUACCUUCCCUCCCUGGAGGUGAAGCCUUGAGGAUAGGCUUGUCUGAGUGACACCUCCUGUGUCUUGCUCUGCACCAGGCACCCCUGAUAUCUCCUCGCUCCCCGUGCUCUCCUCAACCCUUCCCACCAGCUUGCAGAACCCCUCCG